GCAGGAGUAAGAAAAUUAUGUCAAAUAAUUUCCUCACCAUGGAGCGCCAGCGCUUUGUGCUAUAUCCGAGUGUAAACAGACCAAGGCUGUCACUUCCUCACUUCCUGCAUGUUUCCCACCAAUCAAGCCUAAUGGCUGUGAAACAGAAUUUAACAUUUACAUCUGUAAAUUCUCACCACUUACUUUUCCUCCCAGAUGAGACCGAGGAGGAGGUCAGACCACUGGACAGUGCUAAGUGCCCCUCUCCUGUGCAGAGCACCCCAUGGAUACCGUUCCAGAACGCCUGCUACAACUUCAUGAUCACAAAGAACAGGCAUAAGACAGUCACACCGGAGGAGGUGCAGUCCAUGUGCAAGCAGCUGCAUUCUAAAGCACAUAGUCUGAGUGUUCGAACU
Molecule: long non-coding RNA, 395 nt
Filed under: Rattus norvegicus (Norway rat)
Lineage: Eukaryota; Metazoa; Chordata; Mammalia; Rodentia; Muridae
Description: long non-coding RNA NONRATT019319
Source: RNAcentral